CACCUGAAAUUGCGAUCUCGGGCGACCACCAGAAUG
RNAcentral lists this small RNA (36 nucleotides) under Bombyx mori (domestic silkworm). RNAcentral's name for it is "ovarian small RNA-12987". Lineage: Eukaryota; Metazoa; Arthropoda; Insecta; Lepidoptera; Bombycidae. The record is from RNAcentral.